RNAcentral lists this ribosomal RNA (1341 nucleotides) under human gut metagenome. RNAcentral's name for it is "bacterial LSU rRNA". It matches the Rfam family "Bacterial large subunit ribosomal RNA", at positions 840 to 2178 of the family's 2925-position model. The record is from RNAcentral.
CGGAGAUAUCUCGUUCUCCCCGAAAUAGCUUUAGGGCUAGCCUCGAUCGCUUACCGACGGUGGUAGAGCACUGGAUCCGUGCGGGGGCCUCACCGCCUACCAACCGAAACCAAACUCCGAAUGCCGUCGGUCCCGAGAUCGGGAGUCAGAACAUGUGGGCUAAGCCGUGUGUUCGAGAGGGAAACAGCCCAGACCGCCUGCUAAGGUCCCCAAAUCAACGCUGAGUGGCAAAGGAUGUGCGUUUGCCUAGACAACCAGGAUGUUGGCUUAGAAGCAGCCAUGCAUUUAAAGAGUGCGUAACAGCUCACUGGUCAAGUGGACAUGCGCCGACAAUACACGGGGCUAAGCGUUGUACCGAAGCAGCGGACUGUUUUAUCAGUGGUAGGGGAGCUUUCCAUGCCGGGGCGAAGCCGACGGGCGACCGUCGGUGGACUGCAUGGAAGUGAGAAUGCUGGCAUGAGUAACGAGAGAGGGGCGAGAAACCCCUCCGCCGUAAGCCUAAGGGUUCCUGGGCAAGGCUAAUCCCCCCAGGGUCAGUCGGGAGCUAAGGCGAGGCCGACAGGCGUAGCCGAUGCACAACAGGCGGACAUUCCUGUACCACCGCGGAGCGUUACUACGACGGGGUGACGGAGAAGGGUAGCCGGGCGGGGUUCUGGACGUCCCCGUGAAAGCGCGUAGGCCGCAGGGCAGGCAAAUCCGCCCUGCAGCAGGCCGAGACGUUAGACGAAGCUUCAUGUGAAGCCGGCGAGCCCAUGCUUCCGAGAAAAACCUCUAAGGAGCGAGGCGGUGCCCGUACCAAAACCGACACAGGUAGGCGGGUAGAGCAUACCAAGGCGAUCGGGAGAACCAUGGUUAAGGAACUCGGCAUACUGACUCCGUAACUUCGGGAGAAGGAGUGCCCCCGCCUGUGAGGUCCCACGCGGACGGAGCGGGAGGGGGUCGCAGCGAAACGGCCCAAGCGACUGUUUACCAAAAACACAGGACUCUGCAAAGCCGCAAGGCGACGUAUAGGGUCUGACGCCUGCCCGGUGCUGGAAGGUUACGCGGAUGAGUUAGCGCAAGCGAAGCCCUGAAGCCAAGCCCCAGUAAACGGCGGCCGUAACUAUAACGGUCCUAAGGUAGCGAAAUUCCUUGUCGGGUAAGUUCCGACCUGCACGAAUGGCGUAACGACUUGGGCGCUGUCUCAACCAUGGACCCGGUGAAAUUGUAUUAUUCGUGAAGAUGCGAAUUACCUGCGGAAGGACGGAAAGACCCCGUGAACCUUUACUGCAGCUUGGCAUUGGCUGUUGGUGCGGUGCGUAGAGGAUAGGCAGGAGCCUGCGAACCGGGAACGCCAGUUCC